This 245-nucleotide ribosomal RNA is filed under the name uncultured bacterium. Its description in RNAcentral is "partial 16S ribosomal RNA". It matches the Rfam family "Bacterial small subunit ribosomal RNA", at positions 91 to 334 of the family's 1533-position model. The record is from RNAcentral.
CCUAGUGGCGAACGGGUGAGUAACGCGUUGGUGACCUGCCCCGAAGUGGGGGAUAACAGCUCGAAAGAGCUGCUAAUACCCCAUGUGGUCACAAGGGUUAGAGGCCUUGUGACUGAAGGAGUAAUCCGCUUCGGGAGGGGCCUGCGUCCCAUCAGCUAGUUGGUAAGGUAAUGGCCAACCAAGGCGAAGACGGGUAGGGGGCCUGAGAGGGUGGCCCCCCACAAUGGAACUGAAACACGGUCCAU